AUUGAACGCUGGCGGCAUGCCUUACACAUGCAAGUCGAACGGUAACGCGGGGCAACCUGGCGACGAGUGGCGAACGGGUGAGUAAUGCAUCGGAACGUGCCCAGUAGUGGGGGAUAGCCCGGCGAAAGCCGGAUUAAUACCGCAUACGACCUACGGGUGAAAGCGGGGGACUCGCAAGAGCCUCGCGCUAUUGGAGCGGCCGAUGUCAGAUUAGGUAGUUGGUGGGGUAAAAGCCUACCAAGCCGACGAUCUGUAGCUGGUCUGAGAGGACGACCAGCCACACUGGGACUGAGACACGGCCCAGACUCCUACGGGAGGCAGCAGUGGGGAAUUUUGGACAAUGGGCGCAAGCCUGAUCCAGCCAUGCCGCGUGCGGGAAGAAGGCC
Molecule: ribosomal RNA, 386 nt
Filed under: uncultured bacterium
Lineage: Bacteria
Description: bacterial SSU rRNA
Rfam family: Bacterial small subunit ribosomal RNA
Source: RNAcentral